GAGUUAGAUUUUUUUUUUUUUUAGAGUGCAAUGCAAAACCAUUGGAAGGUUUUAAGCAGGGGAGUACACAAUCUGAUUUCCUUUGGACAAAGUUCACUGUGGCUGUGGGAAAGAGAUUAGAGUGGACGACAGGAAACCAGUAGGAGGCUAUCGCAGUCAUCCAGCUGAGGAAAGAUGACUUGACACGACUUCAGAAGCCUCCUGAAUCCUAUUCUGGCCCAUCGUGGCAUGGUCAGCAGAUGAGAAACAGAUGGACUGGUGUGUGGUGGGAGGAAGCUGUCCUGGUCGAGCUCUGCUUCAGGCCAGUCCUUUCUGAGAUUGGAGAAGUGAGAAGAGGAGCAGAGAGACCAGCUGGGAGCUGCUGUAGUAACCCAGGUGAGGGAGAUGGUGGUCUGGACCAGUGCUUCGCAUGGAGGUGGACAGAAGUGAUAUAACUGAUUUAAGUCAACCAGCUGCUUGAUCCAAAUAAUGCCAAAUGAGUUUAUUGCCAUCUCUUCAUAUUUUACAACCAGAUCACUUCUGCAUAAAACCACAUGGAAGAAUAAGAAGGGAAAAACAAUCAAGCAAUAAACUGUUCAUCUGAAAAUAGUUAAAUUCUCCAACAGUUGAUUUUAAAAUAUUUUCCUAAAAUCUAUUAAGAUUUGUUCAAAGUAAUUCUUCUAUGGAGGCACAUCUCUGGACUGAAACAACCAGCCUUUGCCUUUGGUGUGGUCCUGUUUCAGUCAAAAUGGCUAACAGGCUAUGAAGAAAAUCAAAUUCCAAGUUACUCAAAUGUGGAGAAAAUCUGGAGGUCUGGUAUGGGCAUCUUUUCAAAAUGUUUUAAUUACACAUUGAUUUACAAAUGACAUUGUCUAGUAUGGUAGUUUUAAAAAAAUCAUCAUUUUUAAACAUCUGCCAAAUUUUAAAUGGUAGUUUUUCAUGAAAGUACAAAGAAAACUUCAUCCACGAUCACGAAAUUUUCCAACUCAUAUAUCCUGAUCAAAACAAAGACUUUCUAUGGACAAUUGUUGAACCACGCCUGACCUUGGACCCUGUGCUAUCUACUCUUCUCAGUGUCAUUCUCUAUCUAGUUUGGCUUUUCCAAGUUUAAUCACUAAGAUAUUCAGAUAUUAUUACAAAAUAUUAUUACAAGCCCUUUAAUUACCUUGAUAAUAUUACUGGCAAUAUUAAAAACUUUUAGCAGUAU
This 1186-nucleotide long non-coding RNA is filed under the name Homo sapiens (human). RNAcentral describes it as "HSALNT0394397". Lineage: Eukaryota; Metazoa; Chordata; Mammalia; Primates; Hominidae. The record is from RNAcentral.